RNAcentral lists this long non-coding RNA (873 nucleotides) under Homo sapiens (human). RNAcentral describes it as "SOX2 overlapping transcript". The stretch from base 11 to 286 matches the Rfam family "SOX2 overlapping transcript exon 3". Lineage: Eukaryota; Metazoa; Chordata; Mammalia; Primates; Hominidae. The record is from RNAcentral.
GGGAUUGCAGUGGCAAAGCUAGGCUAGGUCUUGGAGGCUGGUGUAAGGCGAUGUGGGUGAAGGCAGGAGGCUGAUGGAAAGACUGGGGGGAAGAAAAGCCGAAAUGGAUUCACGGUGCCUUGGAUGAAGGACGAGAGGGGAACUGCAAGCUCCUUCAACUGGUUCUGUCCGGUGAGAAGUGAUCAAGCUUGGGCUGACAAGAGGCUCAGGGAGCCCUCACGUUCUUUCGCUUUUUUACCUGCCAAUCAAACUGCUACAAGACAACACCCUGAUCUGGCAUGGACAUCGCGGGUCCAAGCCUGUAGCCCCAAAUCGGAUAAUCUCUGCAGCUGAUAACAAGCAAAAGAGAAGCCAGGCAACAGCCAUAUUAAAGAAGAAAACAAUCAACUCUGAGUCAUUGCAGUCACCUGGAGUCACGGAAAUGACCAUGAUUGCCUGAACUUUCAUGACUUCUGUGGAUAACUGUGGUUGCAGAAAAGAGAAAACCUGGACCGUGAGGGACAUUUCACUCCCUGGGCUUUGGUACAUGGUACAUGUGUGGUUGGAUGUGUGUUGCCAGAAAACAGCCUGCCAUGUCUGAGGCUAUGCUCCCAGACUAGCAGCCUGGGUUACAGGGGAAGAGCUGAAGUUGGGUUGGGGAAGUUUAAUAUACUAUACUUUUAAAAUUUUUUUACUUUUGGCUAAUAUUUAUCUAUUUAUUUAUUUUUAUUUUUUGUAGAGACAGGGUUUUGCCAUGUUGCCCUGGCUGGUCUCAAACUACUGAGCUUGAGAAUCUGCUUGUCUUGGCCUCCCAAAGAGCUAGGAUUACAGGCAUGAGCCAUCGAGCCUGGCUCCUUUUAUUCUUUUCAUGACACUACCUCUUCCUAGGAGAGG